CUGGAUAGAGCAACGCCCUUCUAAGGCGUGUGUCCGGGGUUCGAAUCCCUGUGCGCUCACCA
RNAcentral lists this transfer RNA (62 nucleotides) under Clostridioides difficile. RNAcentral describes it as "tRNA-Arg". It matches the Rfam family "tRNA", at positions 16 to 71 of the family's 71-position model. Rfam says of the family: Transfer RNA (tRNA) molecules are approximately 80 nucleotides in length. Their secondary structure includes four short double-helical elements and three loops (D, anti-codon, and T loops). Lineage: Bacteria; Bacillati; Bacillota; Clostridia; Peptostreptococcales; Peptostreptococcaceae. The record is from RNAcentral.